CCUAGGGGGGCUGCAGUGGGGAAUAUUGGACAAUGGGGGGAACCCUGAUCCAGCCAUGCCGCGUGUGUGAAGAAGGCCCUCGGGUUGUAAAGCACUUUCAGUGAGGAAGAACGCCUGGUGGUUAAUACCCAUCAGGAAAGACAUCACUCACAGAAGAAGCACCGGCUAACUCCGUGCCAGCAGCCGCGGUAAUACGGAGGGUGCGAGCGUUAAUCGGAAUUACUGGGCGUAAAGCGCGCGUAGGUGGCUUGAUAAGCCGGUUGUGAAAGCCCCGGGCUCAACCUGGGAACGGCAUCCGGAACUGUCAAGCUAGAGUGCAGGAGAGGAAGGUAGAAUUCCCGGUGUAGCGGUGAAAUGCGUAGAGAUCGGGAGGAAUACCAGUGGCGAAGGCGGCCUUCUGGACUGACACUGACACUGAGGUGCGAAAGCGUGGGUAGCAAACAGGAUUAGAUACCCGUGUAGUC
RNAcentral lists this ribosomal RNA (464 nucleotides) under Vreelandella stevensii. RNAcentral describes it as "partial 16S ribosomal RNA". It matches the Rfam family "Bacterial small subunit ribosomal RNA", at positions 338 to 795 of the family's 1533-position model. Lineage: Bacteria; Pseudomonadati; Pseudomonadota; Gammaproteobacteria; Oceanospirillales; Halomonadaceae. The record is from RNAcentral.